GACGAACGCUGGCGGCGCGCCUAACACAUGCAAGUCGAACGAGCGAGCGAGAGCUUGCUUUCUCAAGCGAUUGGCGUACGCGUGAGUAACGCGUGAGGAUCCUGCCUCAAAGAGGGGGACAACAGUUGGAAACGUCUGUUCAUACCGCAUAAGCUCCCGUCCCCGCCUCGGGCAGAGUGAAACGGAGCAAUCCGCUUUGACAUGGCCUCGCGUCCGCUUAGCUAGUUGGUGAGGUAACAGCCCACCAAGGCUACGAUCGGUAGCCAGACUGAGAGGUUGAUCGGCAACAUUAGGACUGCGACAAGGCCCAGAUUCCCACGAGCGGUAGCAGUAGUGAACAUCGCACCAUGGGUGAUACCCUGAUGCAGCGACGCCGCGUUGACGAAGAAGGUCUUCAGAUUGUAAUCGCAUGUUGUUAAGGACGAUAAUGUCUGUACUAAACAAGAAAGCGACGCCUAACUACGU
RNAcentral lists this ribosomal RNA (465 nucleotides) under uncultured bacterium. Its description in RNAcentral is "partial 16S ribosomal RNA". It matches the Rfam family "Bacterial small subunit ribosomal RNA", at positions 28 to 506 of the family's 1533-position model. The record is from RNAcentral.